UGCAGGGGCGGCGUGCUAUACAUGCAGUCGAGCGGACAGAAGGGAGCUUGCUCCCGGAUGUUAGCGGCGGACGGGUGAGUAACACGUGGGUAACCUGCCUGUAAGACUGGGAUAACUCCGGGAAACCGGAGCUAAUACCGGAUAGUUCCUUGAACCGCAUGGUUCAAGGAUGAAAGACGGUUUCGGCUGUCACUUACAGAUGGACCCGCGGCGCAUUAGCUAGUUGGUGAGGUAACGGCUCACCAAGGCGACGAUGCGUAGCCGACCUGAGAGGGUGAUCGGCCACACUGGGACUGAGACACGGCCCAGACUCCUACGGGAGGCAGCAGUAGGGAAUCUUCCGCAAUGGACGAAAGUCUGACGGAGCAACGCCGCGUGAGUGAUGAAGGUUUUCGGAUCGUAAAGCUCUGUUGUUAGGGAAGAACAAGUGCAAGAGUAACUGCUUGCACCUUGACGGUACCUAACCAGAAAGCCACGGCUAACUACGUGCCAGCAGCCGCGGUAAUACGUAGGUGGCAAGCGUUGUCCGGAAUUAUUGGGCGUAAAGGGCUCGCAGGCGGUUUCUUAAGUCUGAUGUGAAAGCCCCCGGCUCAACCGGGGAGGGUCAUUGGAAACUGGGAAACUUGAGUGCAGAAGAGGGAGAUUGGAAUUCCACGUGUAGCGGUGAAAUGCGUAGGGAUGUGGAGGAACACCAGUUGGCGAAGGCGACUCUCUGGUCUGUAACUGACGCUGAGGAGCGAAAGCGUGGGGAGCGAACAGGAUUAGAUACCCUGGUAGUCCACGCCGUAAACGAUGAGUGCUAAGUGUUAGGGGGUUUCCGCCCUUUAGUGCUGCAGCUAACGCAUUAAGCACUCCGCCUGGGGAGUACGGUCGCAAGACUGAAACUCAAAGGAAUUGACGGGGGCCCGCACAAGCGGUGGAGCAUGUGGUUUAAUUCCGAAGCAACGCGAAGAACCUUACCAGGUCUUGACAUCCUCUGACAACCCUAGAGAUAGGGCUUUCGCUUCCGGGGACAGAGUGACAGGUGGUGCAUGGUUGUCGUCAGCUCGUGUCGUGAGAUGUUGGGUUAAGUCCCGCAACGAGCGCAACCCUUGAUCUUAGUUGCCAGCAUUUAGUUGGGCACUCUAAGGUGACUGCCGGUGACAAACCGGAGGAAGGUGGGGAUGACGUCAAAUCAUCAUGCCCCUUAUGACCUGGGCUACACACGUGCUACAAUGGACAGAACAAAGGGCUGCGAGACCGCAAGGUUUAGCCAAUCCCACAAAUCUGUUCUCAGUUCGGAUCGCAGUCUGCAACUCGACUGCGUGAAGCUGGAAUCGCUAGUAAUCGCGGAUCAGCAUGCCGCGGUGAAUACGUUCCCGGGCCUUGUACACACCGCCCGUCACACCACGAGAGUUUGCAACACCCGAAGUCGGUGAGGUAACCUUUAUGGAGCCAGCCGCCGAAGUGGUCCAGAUUGGG
Molecule: ribosomal RNA, 1461 nt
Filed under: Bacillus altitudinis
Lineage: Bacteria; Bacillati; Bacillota; Bacilli; Caryophanales; Bacillaceae
Description: bacterial SSU rRNA
Rfam family: Bacterial small subunit ribosomal RNA
Source: RNAcentral